UGUUUCACAGCUGGCACUGAAACACAGACAGGGAAAGAACCAUAAGAUGAGGAUCAUUGCCUUUGUGGGAAGCCCUGUGGAGGACCAGGAGAAAGAUUUGGUGAAGAUGGCAAAACGUUUGAAGAAG
Molecule: long non-coding RNA, 127 nt
Organism: Sinocyclocheilus grahami
Lineage: Eukaryota; Metazoa; Chordata; Actinopteri; Cypriniformes; Cyprinidae
Exons: 2
Source: RefSeq, a predicted model, not a curated record